UGUCUUGUUUUGGAACUUUCUGGGCA
Molecule: non-coding RNA, 26 nt
Filed under: Rattus norvegicus (Norway rat)
Lineage: Eukaryota; Metazoa; Chordata; Mammalia; Rodentia; Muridae
Source: RNAcentral